AGACAGAGCACGCUAGCGUUGUUCGGAAUCAUUGGGCUUAAAGCGCGAGUAGGCGGCCGCGUAAGUACCUUGUGAAAGCCCCCGGCUCAACUGGGGAACAGCUCGGUAUACUGCGUGGCUUGAGGCAAGUAGGGGUGCCUGGAACUCUAGGUGGAGCGGUGAAAUGCGUAGAUAUCUAGAGGAACGCCCGUGGCGAAAGCGGGGCACUGGGCUUGUCCUGACGCUGAGACGCGAAAGCGUGGGGAGCAAACGGGAUUAGAUACCCCGGUAGUCCACGCCGUAAACGAUGCGCACUAGGUUUGUUGUUCUCUGACGAACAAUGGGCCGAAACGAAAGCGCUAAGUGCGCCGCCUGGGGAGUACGGCCGCAAGGCUAAA
RNAcentral lists this ribosomal RNA (377 nucleotides) under uncultured bacterium. RNAcentral describes it as "bacterial SSU rRNA". It matches the Rfam family "Bacterial small subunit ribosomal RNA", at positions 523 to 898 of the family's 1533-position model. The record is from RNAcentral.